AACGUAGGAGACAAACGUUAUCCGGAGUUACUGGGCGUAAAGGGCGUGUAGGCGGUUUGUUAAGGUUGGCGUGAAAGCUCUCGGCUAAACCGGGAGAGGUCGUUGGAUACUGGCAAACUAGAGGACGGUAGAGGCGUGUGGAAUUCCGGGUGUAGUGGUGAAAUGCGUAGAGAUCCGGAGGAACACCAGUGGCGAAGGCGACACGCUGGGCCGUACCUGACGCUAAAGCGCGACAGCAUGGGGAGCAAACGGG
This 253-nucleotide ribosomal RNA is filed under the name uncultured bacterium. RNAcentral describes it as "partial 16S ribosomal RNA". It matches the Rfam family "Bacterial small subunit ribosomal RNA", at positions 524 to 776 of the family's 1533-position model. The record is from RNAcentral.